Molecule: ribosomal RNA, 594 nt
Filed under: Legionella sp. legS052
Lineage: Bacteria; Pseudomonadati; Pseudomonadota; Gammaproteobacteria; Legionellales; Legionellaceae
Description: bacterial SSU rRNA
Rfam family: Bacterial small subunit ribosomal RNA
Source: RNAcentral
GAUUAGCUAGUUGGUAGGGUAAGGGCCUACCAAGGCGACGAUCGGUAGCUGGUCUGAGAGGAUGGCCAGCCACACUGGAACUGAGACACGGUCCAGACUCCUACGGGAGGCAGCAGUGGGGAAUAUUGGACAAUGGGGGGAACCCUGAUCCAGCAAUGCCGCGUGUGUGAAGAAGGCCUGAGGGUUGUAAAGCACUUUCAGUGGGGAGGAGUGUUUGUAGGUUAAGAGCUAAUGAACUGGACGUUACCCACAGAAGAAGCACCGGCUAACUCCGUGCCAGCAGCCGCGGUAAUACGGAGGGUGCGAGCGUUAAUCGGAAUUACUGGGCGUAAAGGGUGCGUAGGUGGUUGAAUAAGUUAUCUGUGAAAUUCCUGGGCUUAACCUGGGCCGGUCAGAUAAUACUGUUUAACUCGAGUAUGGGAGAGGGUAGUGGAAUUUCCGGUGUAGCGGUGAAAUGCGUAGAGAUCGGAAGGAACGCCGUAGCCGAAUGCGACUACCUGGCCUAACCGUGGAGUUGAGGCUCGAUAGCGUGGGAGCAAACAGGAUUAGAAACCCCGGUAGUCCACGCCGUAAACGAUGUCAACUAGCUGUUGG